Molecule: ribosomal RNA, 274 nt
Filed under: uncultured bacterium
Lineage: Bacteria
Description: partial 16S ribosomal RNA
Rfam family: Bacterial small subunit ribosomal RNA
Source: RNAcentral
CUACGUAGGUCCCGAACGUUGCGCGAAAUUACUGGGCGUAAAGGGUCCGUAGGCGGUCUGGUAAGUGGAAGGUGAAAGCCUGGGGCUCAACUCCAGAGUUGCCUUCCAAACUGCCGGACUUGAGGCAGGGAGAGGUCGGCGGAUUUCCCGGUGUAGCGGUGAAAUGCGUAGAUAUCGGGAGGAACACCAGUGGCGAAGGCGGCCGACUGGAACUGUCCUGACGCUGAGGGACGAAAGCCAGGGGAGCGAACCGGAUUAGAAACCCUAGUAGUCC